UCCUUUAAAAAUUCUACCCUGAACAAGCCCAAUCCCAUCUGAUCUCAAAAGCUAAGCAGGGUUGGGCCUGGUUAGUACUUGGAUGGGAGACCACCUAGGAAAACCAGGUGCUGAAGGCG
RNAcentral lists this ribosomal RNA (119 nucleotides) under Pteropus alecto (black flying fox). The record is from RNAcentral. Lineage: Eukaryota; Metazoa; Chordata; Mammalia; Chiroptera; Pteropodidae.